AGAGUUUGAUCAUGGCUCAGGAUGAACGCUAGCUACAGGCUUAACACAUGCAAGUCGAGGGGCAGCAUGAACUUAGCUUGCUAAGUUUGAUGGCGACCGGCGCACGGGUGAGUAACACGUAUCCAACCUUCCGUUUACUCAGGGAUAGCCUUUCGAAAGAAAGAUUAAUACCUGAUAGUAUGGUGAGAUUGCAUGAUAGCACCAUUAAAGAUUAUU
Molecule: ribosomal RNA, 216 nt
Filed under: uncultured bacterium
Lineage: Bacteria
Description: partial 16S ribosomal RNA
Rfam family: Bacterial small subunit ribosomal RNA
Source: RNAcentral